RNAcentral lists this unclassified non-coding RNA (1019 nucleotides) under Hevea brasiliensis (rubber tree). Lineage: Eukaryota; Viridiplantae; Streptophyta; Magnoliopsida; Malpighiales; Euphorbiaceae. The record is from RNAcentral.
GUAAAUCUUUUUUUUUUUUUGCCAACACUUGCUGUGUGGAGGCAUUUGGUAAUAAAAACUAGAUUUUGUGCAAGUCCGGUUAAUUAUCUCAAAAGUAAAGGAUAUGAUUGUUUUAUUUCCAGAGAACCAAGAAAAUUAAAAAUAAAAAAGAUACAAUUGUUCACAUACUCAUUAGUCUUUGAGGAUGUGGUCCUUGCCAUGGUCAUUUGAAACUAGAAAAUGAAGGGAUUUCAUAACUUAGUUGAAGAGUGUCACUUAAAAAUAGAGUGCGUUUUAACGCUUCAUAUCUGGCAUCAUAUGAUACUAAUUGAACAUUAUGAUAAAUUCUUUAUAUCUUUAUUCGGGAAAGUUCAUAGAACUGUAUGCUUGGAAUAAGCUUGUCCAGCUUGGAGUUAUUCUCAUCUGAAAAACCUUGAAUAACUAUUCACAGCAGUUAAAGAGGGUAGAAGUAGAUGGUUUGAACUUGUGUAUUGUUGAUCAAUAAGAUUCAUUAGUGUAGAGGUUUGAGCGUAGUGAAGUUGUAGGAGAUAAAAUAAGGUAAGAGGCAAGCCUAGGAUGACUUGCGGAAGUAGUGAGAUGAAUUUAGUGGAUCUGGAUUUUAUUUAUUCAGAACCUUUUGAGAAGUGGGCUGUGAAAAUUUCAAUUUUUGAAAAGAACAGCACGUCAAAUAGGUUAUGUGGAUUAUGUUGACAUAUGAUAAUUAGGACUGAAUAUUUAGCUGUUGCAACUGCUGGUUUUCAUGAAUUUGAUCUGCAUUAUUCAUGGAAUGAUAUUUUAUCUUAGUUGCAGAUGAGGAAAUAAUGCAUUUAUUCAAGAAUCUUUAUCCUAUCAUUUUAUGGGGAUUGCUGAAAUAGACAAAGUGUUACCUAUGUAUGACAUGGUGCCCCCCCGCCCCUCCUCCUCUCCCUUUCUCUUUCUCUCUCUAUUAUGGUAAUUCUACUACUUUUAAGAUGGCAUUUGAUUCAUGGAUUAUGUGGCACCCCUUGGUUUCACUUUUGUAGAGAUCAAAAAAGGUCUGA